UUAAGCGACUAAGCGUACACGGUGGAUGCCCUGGCAGUCAGAGGCGAUGAAGGACGUGCUAAUCUGCGAUAAGCGUCGGUAAGGUGAUAUGAACCGUUAUAACCGGCGAUUUCCGAAUGGGGAAACCCAGUGUGAUUCGUCACACUAUCAUUAACUGAAUCCAUAGGUUAAUGAGGCGAACCGGGGGAACUGAAACAUCUAAGUACCCCGAGGAAAAGAAAUCAACCGAGAUUCCCCCAGUAGCGGCGAGCGAACGGGGAGCAGCCCAGAGCCUGAAUCAGUGUGUGUGUUAGUGGAAGCGUCUGGAAAGGCGCGCGAUACAGGGUGACAGCCCCGUACACAAAAAUGCACAUACUGUGAGCUCGAUGAGUAGGGCGGGACACGUGGUAUCCUGUCUGAAUAUGGGGGGACCAUCCUCCAAGGCUAAAUACUCCUGACUGACCGAUAGUGAACCAGUACCGUGAGGGAAAGGCGAAAAGAACCCCGGCGAGGGGAGUGAAAAAGAACCUGAAACCGUGUACGUACAAGCAGUGGGAGCACGCUUAGGCGUGUGACUGCGUACCUUUUGUAUAAUGGGUCAGCGACUUAUAUUCUGUAGCAAGGUUAACCGAAUAGGGGAGCCGAAGGGAAACCGAGUCUUAACUGGGCGUUAAGUUGCAGGGUAUAGACCCGAAACCCGGUGAUCUAGCCAUGGGCAGGUUGAAGGUUGGGUAACACUAACUGGAGGACCGAACCGACUAAUGUUGAAAAAUUAGCGGAUGACUUGUGGCUGGGGGUGAAAGGCCAAUCAAACCGGGAGAUAGCUGGUUCUCCCCGAAAGCUAUUUAGGUAGCGCCUCGUGAAUUCAUCUCCGGGGGUAGAGCACUGUUUCGGCAAGGGGGUCAUCCCGACUUACCAACCCGAUGCAAACUGCGAAUACCGGAGAAUGUUAUCACGGGAGACACACGGCGGGUGCUAACGUCCGUCGUGAAGAGGGAAACAACCCAGACCGCCAGCUAAGGUCCCAAAGUCAUGGUUAAGUGGGAAACGAUGUGGGAAGGCCCAGACAGCCAGGAUGUUGGCUUAGAAGCAGCCAUCAUUUAAAGAAAGCGUAAUAGCUCACUGGUCGAGUCGGCCUGCGCGGAAGAUGUAACGGGGCUAAACCAUGCACCGAAGCUGCGGCAGCGACGCUUAUGCGUUGUUGGGUAGGGGAGCGUUCUGUAAGCCUGCGAAGGUGUGCUGUGAGGCAUGCUGGAGGUAUCAGAAGUGCGAAUGCUGACAUAAGUAACGAUAAAGCGGGUGAAAAGCCCGCUCGCCGGAAGACCAAGGGUUCCUGUCCAACGUUAAUCGGGGCAGGGUGAGUCGACCCCUAAGGCGAGGCCGAAAGGCGUAGUCGAUGGGAAACAGGUUAAUAUUCCUGUACUUGGUGUUACUGCGAAGGGGGGACGGAGAAGGCUAUGUUGGCCGGGCGACGGUUGUCCCGGUUUAAGCGUGUAGGCUGGUUUUCCAGGCAAAUCCGGAAAAUCAAGGCUGAGGCGUGAUGACGAGGCACUACGGUGCUGAAGCAACAAAUGCCCUGCUUCCAGGAAAAGCCUCUAAGCAUCAGGUAACAUCAAAUCGUACCCCAAACCGACACAGGUGGUCAGGUAGAGAAUACCAAGGCGCUUGAGAGAACUCGGGUGAAGGAACUAGGCAAAAUGGUGCCGUAACUUCGGGAGAAGGCACGCUGAUAUGUAGGUGAAGUCCCUCGCGGAUGGAGCUGAAAUCAGUCGAAGAUACCAGCUGGCUGCAACUGUUUAUUAAAAACACAGCACUGUGCAAACACGAAAGUGGACGUAUACGGUGUGACGCCUGCCCGGUGCCGGAAGGUUAAUUGAUGGGGUUAGCGCAAGCGAAGCUCUUGAUCGAAGCCCCGGUAAACGGCGGCCGUAACUAUAACGGUCCUAAGGUAGCGAAAUUCCUUGUCGGGUAAGUUCCGACCUGCACGAAUGGCGUAAUGAUGGCCAGGCUGUCUCCACCCGAGACUCAGUGAAAUUGAACUCGCUGUGAAGAUGCAGUGUACCCGCGGCAAGACGGAAAGACCCCGUGAACCUUUACUAUAGCUUGACACUGAACAUUGAGCCUUGAUGUGUAGGAUAGGUGGGAGGCUUUGAAGUGUGGACGCCAGUCUGCAUGGAGCCGACCUUGAAAUACCACCCUUUAAUGUUUGAUGUUCUAACGUUGACCCGUGAUCCGGGUUGCGGACAGUGUCUGGUGGGUAGUUUGACUGGGGCGGUCUCCUCCUAAAGAGUAACGGAGGAGCACGAAGGUUGGCUAAUCCUGGUCGGACAUCAGGAGGUUAGUGCAAUGGCAUAAGCCAGCUUGACUGCGAGCGUGACGGCGCGAGCAGGUGCGAAAGCAGGUCAUAGUGAUCCGGUGGUUCUGAAUGGAAGGGCCAUCGCUCAACGGAUAAAAGGUACUCCGGGGAUAACAGGCUGAUACCGCCCAAGAGUUCAUAUCGACGGCGGUGUUUGGCACCUCGAUGUCGGCUCAUCACAUCCUGGGGCUGAAGUAGGUCCCAAGGGUAUGGCUGUUCGCCAUUUAAAGUGGUACGCGAGCUGGGUUUAGAACGUCGUGAGACAGUUCGGUCCCUAUCUGCCGUGGGCGCUGGAGAACUGAGGGGGGCUGCUCCUAGUACGAGAGGACCGGAGUGGACGCAUCACUGGUGUUCGGGUUGUCAUGCCAAUGGCACUGCCCGGUAGCUAAAUGCGGAAGAGAUAAGUGCUGAAAGCAUCUAAGCACGAAACUUGCCCCGAGAUGAGUUCUCCCUGACUCCUUGAGAGUCCUGAAGGAACGUUGAAGACGACGACGUUGAUAGGCCGGGUGUGUAAGCGCAGCGAUGCGUUGAGCUAACCGGUACUAAUGAACCGUGAGGCUUAACCUU
RNAcentral lists this ribosomal RNA (2902 nucleotides) under human gut metagenome. Its description in RNAcentral is "bacterial LSU rRNA". It matches the Rfam family "Bacterial large subunit ribosomal RNA". The record is from RNAcentral.